RNAcentral lists this ribosomal RNA (273 nucleotides) under uncultured bacterium. Its description in RNAcentral is "partial 16S ribosomal RNA". It matches the Rfam family "Bacterial small subunit ribosomal RNA", at positions 28 to 312 of the family's 1533-position model. The record is from RNAcentral.
GAUGAACGCUAGCGGCAGGCCUAAUACAUGCAAGUCGAACGGUGGUAGCAAUACCAUAGUGGCGCACGGGUGCGUAACACGUAACUAACCUACCCAGCACUGGGGGAUAGGCCCGCCGAAAGGCGGAUUAAUACCGCAUAAGAUAGCAGAGGGGCAUCCCUUAGUUAUUAAGAUUAUUGGUGUUGGAUGGGGUUGCGGGUCAUUAGCUAGUUGGUUGGGUAACGGCUGACCAAGGCGACGAUGACUAGGGGAGCUGAGAGGCUGGUCCCCACA